UGUUCUGUGGCUUAGUUGGUUAAAGCGCCGGUCUAGCGAAUACGGAGUCGAGGGUUCGAGUCCAACCAGAACGC
Non-coding RNA from Aedes albopictus (Asian tiger mosquito), 74 nucleotides. Lineage: Eukaryota; Metazoa; Arthropoda; Insecta; Diptera; Culicidae. The record is from Rfam.